UACGGAGGGUGCGAGCGUUAAUCGGAAUUACUGGGCGUAAAGCGCACGUAGGCGGCCAUGUAAGUUGGGGGUGAAAUCCCAGGGCUCAACCCUGGAACUGCCUUCAAAACUACAUAGCUAGAGGAUGUGAGAGGAUAGUGGAAUUCCGAGUGUAGAGGUGAAAUUCGUAGAUAUUCGGAAGAACACCAGUGGCGAAGGCGACUGUCUGGCACAUUUCUGACGCUGAGGUGCGAAAGCGUGGGGAGCAAACAGG
RNAcentral lists this unclassified non-coding RNA (253 nucleotides) under uncultured Parvularculaceae bacterium. Its description in RNAcentral is "contains 16S-23S intergenic spacer region". It matches the Rfam family "Bacterial small subunit ribosomal RNA", at positions 524 to 776 of the family's 1533-position model. The record is from RNAcentral. Lineage: Bacteria; Pseudomonadati; Pseudomonadota; Alphaproteobacteria; Parvularculales; Parvularculaceae.